Molecule: ribosomal RNA, 880 nt
Filed under: uncultured bacterium
Lineage: Bacteria
Description: bacterial SSU rRNA
Rfam family: Bacterial small subunit ribosomal RNA
Source: RNAcentral
AUCCUGGCUCAGGACGAACGCUGGCGGCGUGCUUAACACAUGCAAGUCGAACGGAAAGGCCCUUCGGGGUGCUCGAGUGGCGAACGGGUGAGUAACACGUGGGUGAUCUGCCCUGCACUUUGGGAUAAGCCUGGGAAACUGGGUCUAAUACCGGAUAGGACCACGGUCUGCAUGGAUUGUGGUGGAAAGCUUUUGCGGUGUGGGAUGGGCCCGCGGCCUAUCAGCUUGUUGGUGGGGUGAUGGCCUACCAAGGCGACGACGGGUAGCCGGCCUGAGAGGGUGACCGGCCACACUGGGACUGAGAUACGGCCCAGACUCCUACGGGAGGCAGCAGUGGGGAAUAUUGCACAAUGGGCGCAAGCCUGAUGCAGCGACGCCGCGUGAGGGAUGACGGCCUUCGGGUUGUAAACCUCUUUCAGCACAGACGAAGCGCAAGUGACGGUAUGUGCAGAAGAAGGACCGGCCAACUACGUGCCAGCAGCCGCGGUAAUACGUAGGGUCCGAGCGUUGUCCGGAAUUACUGGGCGUAAAGAGCUCGUAGGUGGUUUGUCGCGUUGUUCGUGAAAACUCACAGCUUAACUGUGGGCGUGCGGGCGAUACGGGCAGACUGGAGUACUGCAGGGGAGACUGGAAUUCCUGGUGUAGCGGUGGAAUGCGCAGAUAUCAGGAGGAACACCGGUGGCGAAGGCGGGUCUCUGGGCAGUAACUGACGCUGAGGAGCGAAAGCGUGGGGAGCGAACAGGAUUAGAUACCCUGGUAGUCCACGCCGUAAACGGUGGGUACUAGGUGUGGGUUUCCUUCCUUGGGAUCCGUGCCGUAGCUAACGCAUUAAGUACCCCGCCUGGGGAGUACGGCCGCAAGGCUAAAACUCAAAGGAAUU